GGGGUAUCACAGAAUCCUGGAGACAGCAGCAUCACUCAGAUCCUGAGGGGUUUCCGCUUCAAGCAUGACCCUUUUGCCUGUGGGAUGAGCUCCAGCAUGGGGUGAGGUACAGAAGAGAGACUUGAAGAGCGUGCCUUGGGACUCAAGCGCCAAACCUGUACCCUAGCGAGUGUCCUACUCCGCAUCCGUAAUGGAAGGAAAUGCACAUCUUACUCCAGAGGCACAACAGGGGGACAUCCCAUGCGGCUACUCCUGCCCAGCGUGGUGGGGCAGCAGAAGCUCCAGAGCCCAGACUUGCAGGUUUGCUGUUU
RNAcentral lists this long non-coding RNA (311 nucleotides) under Pan troglodytes (chimpanzee). Its description in RNAcentral is "long non-coding RNA NONPTRT008794". The record is from RNAcentral. Lineage: Eukaryota; Metazoa; Chordata; Mammalia; Primates; Hominidae.